UAUGUUUAUGGGGGGUGUUUUCCUCUCUAGGUGUUUUUGUAUGUUUAUGGGGGGUGUUUUCCUCUAGGUGUUUUUGUAUGUUUAUGGGGGGUGUUUUCCUCUCUAGGUGUUUUUGUAUGUCUAUGGGGGGUGUUUUCCUCUCUAGGUGUUUUUGUAUGUUUAUGGGGGGUGUUGUCCUCUCUAGGUGUUUUUGUAUGUUUAUGGGGGGUGUUGUCCUCUCUAGGUGUUUUUGUAUGUUUAUGGGGGGUGUUGUCCUCUCUAGGUGUUUUUGUAUGUUUAUGGGGGGUGUUGUCCUCUCUAGGUGUUUUUGUAUGUUUAUGGGGGGUGUUGUCCUCUCUAGGUGUUUUUGUAUGUUUAUGGGGGGUGUUGUCCUCUCUAGGUGUUUUUGUAUGUUUAUGGGGGGUGUUGUCCUCUAGGUGUUUUUGUAUGUUUAUGGGGGGUGUUGUCCUCUCUAGGUGUUUUUGUAUGUUUAUGGGGGGUGUUGUCCUCUCUAGGUGUUUUUGUAUGUUUAUGGGGGGUGUUGUCCUCUCUAGGUGUUUUUGUAUGUUUAUGGGGGGUGUUGUCCUCUCUAGGUGUUUUUGUAUGUUUAUGGGGGGUGUUGUCCUCUCUAGGUGUUUUUGUAUGUUUAUGGGGGGUGUUGUCCUCUCUAGGUGUUUUUGUAUGUUUAUGGGGGGUGUUGUCCUCUCUAGGUGUUUUUGUAUGUCUAUGGGGGGUGUUGUCCUCUCUAGGUGUUUUUGUAUGUUUAUGGGGGGUGUUGUCCUCUCUAGGUGUUUUUGUAUGUUUAUGGGGGGUGUUGUCCUCUCUAGGUGUUUUUGUAUGUUUAUGGGGGGUGUUGUCCUCUCUAGGUGUUUUUGUAUGUUUAUGGGGGGUGUUGUCCUCUCUAGGUGUUUUUGUAUGUUUAUGGGGGGUGUUUUCCUCUCUAGGUGUUUUUGUAUGUUUAUGGGGGUGUUGUCC
Oncorhynchus keta (chum salmon) is the source of this 954-nucleotide RNA transcript. RefSeq lists it as uncharacterized. The transcript is spliced from 6 exons. NCBI's taxonomy places the organism in Eukaryota, Metazoa, Chordata, Actinopteri, Salmoniformes, Salmonidae. The record is from RefSeq and is a predicted model, not a curated record.